Molecule: small nuclear RNA, 193 nt
Organism: Perca flavescens (yellow perch)
Lineage: Eukaryota; Metazoa; Chordata; Actinopteri; Perciformes; Percidae
Product: U2 spliceosomal RNA
Exons: 1
Source: RefSeq, a predicted model, not a curated record
UUUGAACUUGUGUCAAUUUGGCUAAAAAAAAAAAAAAAAAUCUGUUCUUAUCAGUUUAAUAUCUGAUACGUCCUCUAUCAGGGGACAACAUAUUAAAUGGAUUUUUGUCAAUAGGAUUUGAAAAAGGGGCUUGCUCCAUUCCUUCCACGCAUUGACCUGGUAUUGCAGCGCCGCUGGGAACGGUGCACUCUUC